RNAcentral lists this ribosomal RNA (724 nucleotides) under uncultured Staphylococcus sp. RNAcentral's name for it is "bacterial SSU rRNA". It matches the Rfam family "Bacterial small subunit ribosomal RNA", at positions 72 to 781 of the family's 1533-position model. Lineage: Bacteria; Bacillati; Bacillota; Bacilli; Caryophanales; Staphylococcaceae. The record is from RNAcentral.
CGAGAAGCUUGCUUCUCUGAUGUUAGCGGCGGACGGGUGAGUAACACGUGGAUAACCUACCUAUAAGACUGGGAUAACUUCGGGAAACCGGAGCUAAUACCGGAUAAUAUUUUGAACCGCAUGGUUCAAAAGUGAAAGACGGUCUUGCUGUCACUUAUAGAUGGAUCCGCGCUGCAUUAGCUAGUUGGUAAGGUAACGGCUUACCAAGGCAACGAUGCAUAGCCGACCUGAGAGGGUGAUCGGCCACACUGGAACUGAGACACGGUCCAGACUCCUACGGGAGGCAGCAGUAGGGAAUCUUCCGCAAUGGGCGAAAGCCUGACGGAGCAACGCCGCGUGAGUGAUGAAGGUCUUCGGAUCGUAAAACUCUGUUAUUAGGGAAGAACAUAUGUGUAAGUAACUGUGCACAUCUUGACGGUACCUAAUCAGAAAGCCACGGCUAACUACGUGCCAGCAGCCGCGGUAAUACGUAGGUGGCAAGCGUUAUCCGGAAUUAUUGGGCGUAAAGCGCGCGUAGGCGGUUUUUUAAGUCUGAUGUGAAAGCCCACGGCUCAACCGUGGAGGGUCAUUGGAAACUGGAAAACUUGAGUGCAGAAGAGGAAAGUGGAAUUCCAUGUGUAGCGGUGAAAUGCGCAGAGAUAUGGAGGAACACCAGUGGCGAAGGCGACUUUCUGGUCUGUAACUGACGCUGAUGUGCGAAAGCGUGGGGAUCAAACAGGAUUAG